AGAGUUUGAUCAUGGCUCAGGAUGAACGCUGGCGGCGUGCCUAACACAUGCAAGUCGGACGGUCCGCAAGGACAGUGGCGCACGGGUGAGUAACACGUAGCUAACCUGCCCCAGAGAGUGGGAUAACGUUCUGAAAGGAACGCUAAGACCGCGUAAGCUCCCGAUCUGUAGAGGAUUGGGUGAAAAAACUUCGGUUGCUCUGGGAGGGGGCUGCGACCCAUCAGGUAGAUGGUGCGGUAACGGCGCACCAUGCCGACGACGGGUAGGGGACCUGAGAGGGUGAACCCCCACACUGGGACUGAGACACGGCCCAGACUCCUACGGGAGGCAGCAGUGAGGGAUAUUGCACAAUGGGCGCAAGCCUGAUGCAGCGACGCCGCGUGGGUGAUGACGGUUUUCGGAUUGUAAAACCCUUUUCUGGUUGACGAGCAAGGACGGUAGACCAGGAAUAAGUGUCGGCUAACUACGUGCCAGCCGCCGCGGUAAUUC
Molecule: ribosomal RNA, 489 nt
Filed under: uncultured bacterium
Lineage: Bacteria
Description: bacterial SSU rRNA
Rfam family: Bacterial small subunit ribosomal RNA
Source: RNAcentral